RNAcentral lists this transfer-messenger RNA (359 nucleotides) under Planctomycetaceae bacterium. It matches the Rfam family "transfer-messenger RNA". Rfam says of the family: Bacterial tmRNA, also known as 10Sa RNA or SsrA, is named for its dual tRNA and mRNA-like properties. Its role is to liberate the mRNA from a stalled ribosome. To accomplish this part of the tmRNA is used as a reading frame that ends in a translation stop signal. The record is from RNAcentral. RNAcentral also lists the same sequence under 1 other name. Lineage: Bacteria; Pseudomonadati; Planctomycetota; Planctomycetia; Planctomycetales; Planctomycetaceae.
GGGGGCGACCUGGUAUCGACCGGAUAGACGAAGGGUGAGUGGCGUGCCGUGGUUGGUCAGCUGGCCACGUUAAAAGCUGACUACAACUUUAUUUGCCGAGAAUAAUCUCGCAUUGGCUGCCUAGUUAAAGGCGGCCCCGGCUGCGGGUUUUCGCCGGAGAGACCCAAAAGCCGGCCACAAUUCCGGCUAGUUUCGAGUCAUGUCGGGCACGCUCGAAGCGAAACUAAGUUUCCGACUGGUUGAUCUGGAAUCCUGUCGAGGGGAGUCCGGAAAGACGAGAUUCAAAUCAUCGACUAUGCACGUAGAAGCUGACUUGGAAGUAUCGCGGGACGCGGGUUCGAUUCCCGCCGCCUCCACUU